CCUACGGGCGGCUGCAGUGAGGAAUAUUGGUCAAUGGACGAGAGUCUGAACCAGCCAAGUAGCGUGAAGGAUGACUGCCCUAUGGGUUGUAAACUUCUUUUGUACAAGGGUAAACCUGAAUACGUGUAUUCAGCUGAAAGUACUGUACGAAUAAGGAUCGGCUAACUCCGUGCCAGCAGCCGCGGUAAUACGGAGGAUCCAAGCGUUAUCCGGAUUUAUUGGGUUUAAAGGGUGCGUAGGCGGAUUGAUAAGUUAGAGGUGAAAUGUCCGAGCUUAACUCGGGAACUGCCUCUAAUACUGUUGAUCGAGAGAGUAGAUGCGGUAGGCGGAAUGUAUGGUGUAGCGGUGAAAUGCUUAGAGAUCAUACAGAACACCGAUUGCGAAGGCAGCUUACCAAGCUAUAUCUGACGUUGAGGCACGAAAGCGUGGGGAGCAAACAGGAUUAGAUACCCCUGUAGUC
This 460-nucleotide ribosomal RNA is filed under the name uncultured bacterium. Its description in RNAcentral is "partial 16S ribosomal RNA". It matches the Rfam family "Bacterial small subunit ribosomal RNA", at positions 338 to 795 of the family's 1533-position model. The record is from RNAcentral.